RNAcentral lists this ribosomal RNA (292 nucleotides) under uncultured bacterium. Its description in RNAcentral is "partial 16S ribosomal RNA". The record is from RNAcentral.
GGACUACAAGGGUAUCUAAUCCUGUUUGCUCCCCACGCUUUCGCGCCUUAGCGUCAGUACCGUCCCAGCGAGCUGCCUUCGCCGUCGGUGUUCCUCCUGAUAUCUGCGCAUUCCACCGCUACACCAGGAAUUCCACUCGCCUCUUCCGGACUCGAGCUCGACAGUAUCCACCGGCUUUCAAAGGUUGAGCCUUUGACUUUUACAGCAGACUGAUCGAGCCGCCUACGCGCGCUUUACGCCCAAUGAUUCCGGACAACGCUUGCCCCCUACGUAUUACCGCGGCGGCUGGCAC